This 88-nucleotide transfer RNA is filed under the name Gammaproteobacteria bacterium. RNAcentral's name for it is "tRNA-Ser". It matches the Rfam family "tRNA". Rfam says of the family: Transfer RNA (tRNA) molecules are approximately 80 nucleotides in length. The record is from RNAcentral. Lineage: Bacteria; Pseudomonadati; Pseudomonadota; Gammaproteobacteria.
AGAGAGGUGGCCGAGCGGCUGAAGGCGCACGCCUGGAAAGCGUGUAAACCGAAAGGUUUCGUGGGUUCGAAUCCCAUCCUCUCUGCCA